This 715-nucleotide ribosomal RNA is filed under the name uncultured bacterium. Its description in RNAcentral is "bacterial SSU rRNA". It matches the Rfam family "Bacterial small subunit ribosomal RNA", at positions 65 to 774 of the family's 1533-position model. The record is from RNAcentral.
AGCAUGAAAGUUUGCUUGCAAACUUUUGAUGGCGACCGGCGCACGGGUGAGUAACACGUAUCCAACCUGCCUCAUACUCGGGGAUAGCCUUUCGAAAGAAAGAUUAAUACCCGAUGUCAUAGUCCUACCGCAUGAUGGGAUUAUUAAAGAAUUUCGGUAUGGGAUGGGGAUGCGUUCCAUUAGUUAGUUGGCGGGGUAACGGCCCACCAAGACAACGAUGGAUAGGGGUUCUGAGAGGAAGGUCCUCCACAUUGGAACUGAGACACGGUCCAAACUCCUACGGGAGGCAGCAGUGAGGAAUAUUGGUCAAUGGACGAGAGUCUGAACCAGCCAAGUAGCGUGAAGGAUGACUGCCCUACGGGUUGUAAACUUCUUUUAUAUGGGAAUAAAAUGUUCCACGUGUGGGAUUUUGUAUGUACCAUAUGAAUAAGGAUCGGCUAACUCCGUGCCAGCAGCCGCGGUAAUACGGAGGAUCCGAGCGUUAUCCGGAUUUAUUGGGUUUAAAGGGAGCGUAGGUGGAUUGUUAAGUCAGUUGUGAAAGUUUGCGGCUCAACCGUAAAAUUGCAGUUGAAACUGGCAGUCUUGAGUACAGUAGAGGUGGGCGGAAUUCGUGGUGUAGCGGUGAAAUGCUUAGAUAUCACGAAGAACUCCGAUUGCGAAGGCAGCUCACUGGACUGCAACUGACACUGAGGCUCGAAAGUGUGGGUAUCAAACA